RNAcentral lists this ribosomal RNA (223 nucleotides) under uncultured bacterium. Its description in RNAcentral is "partial 16S ribosomal RNA". It matches the Rfam family "Bacterial small subunit ribosomal RNA", at positions 126 to 334 of the family's 1533-position model. The record is from RNAcentral.
CUGCCCUUCAGUGGGGAAUAACACGCCGAAAGGCGUGCUAAUGCCGCAUGUCACAGUUGAGUUUCCGAGCUCGAUUGGAAAAGGGGACGCCCGCAAGGGGUUCUCGCUGGAGGAUGAGUCCGCGGCCCAUCAGCUUGUUGGCGGGGUAAUGGCCCACCAAGGCAAAGACGGGUAGCUGGUCUGAGAGGAUGACCAGCCACACUGGGACUGAGACACGGCCCAG